GUACUCAAGCACUGCUUGGUGUUGGGCGUGUCCGCUGUCGGACUCGCUUUAAAUCCAUUGGCAGCCGGUAUCUGGUCUGGAACGCAGCACAAUUGCGCCCUGGCUUGAGCUGGCGACCAUAAGUCGACCAUUUUAC
Molecule: unclassified non-coding RNA, 136 nt
Filed under: uncultured Ascomycota
Lineage: Eukaryota; Fungi; Ascomycota
Description: sequence contains ITS2
Source: RNAcentral